Molecule: ribosomal RNA, 431 nt
Filed under: uncultured bacterium
Lineage: Bacteria
Description: bacterial SSU rRNA
Rfam family: Bacterial small subunit ribosomal RNA
Source: RNAcentral
UGGAGGCAGCAGUAAGGAAUCUUGCACAAUGGGGGAAACCCUGAUGCAGCGACGCCGCGUGAGCGAUGAAGCCCUUCGGGGUGUAAAGCUCUUUCGGCAGGGACGAUGAUGACGGUACCUGCAGAAGCAGCUGCGGCUAACUACGUGCCAGCAGCCGCGGUAAUACGUAGGCAGCAAGCGUUGUUCGGAGUUACUGGGCGUAAAGGGUGCGUAGGCGGUCCUUUAAGUUUGGUGUGAAAUCUCCCGGCUCAACUGGGAGGGUGCGCCGGAUACUGAGGGACUAGAGUGCGGGAGGGGAGAGUAGAAUUCCUGGUGUAGCGGUGAAAUGCGUAGAUAUCAGGAGGAAUACCGGUGGUGUAAACGGCUCUCUGGACCGUAACUGACGCUGAGGCACGAAAGCGUGGGUAGCAAACAGGAUUAGAUACCCUGGU